GCCCGCUUCUACCACCAGGUGGACGACCGGCUCUACACCAUCUACCAGUUCUUCUUCGAGAACUACACCGGCGUGCAGGUAAUUCUGUAUGGUGAUUUGCCUAAAAGUAAAGAGAAUGUGGUAUAUAUAUCAAAUUAUCAAGUAAAGGUUUGUACAUUGCUGGUUUCUCUGUAAGGCAUUUUAUGUAACGUUAAUAAGUCUAAUUCUGUGUGAUAUGCUACAUAGCAUGGGAGGAUCUAAUGCUAAAAUAAUAAUAUAGGAUCCAGAUUGGGUUGGUCAUUAGGUCCCAGUGACCAACACAAAUUGGAUCCUGCAAUAUUAUCCUGGGAUAUAUAUAUUCACCUUCAUUCAUAAAAUAAUAAUUAUAAACAUAUAAAGGGUAAAGUAGAACUAUAGGUAAUCUUCACUUAAUGACCACGGUUAGUUGUUCAGAGUCUUGGUUAUUCAGCAAAGCGGUCAAUAAGCAAGAUACUUACAACUGUUUCAUUGAACAACUGCAAUCCCAACAUUCCCCACUGUGCUCUUGGACAUAUCUGAUGUGUUUUGAAAGGCGGAUUAAAAUGGCUUCUUUUGUAUAGGUGGUAUUUUUCUCAGGUAAUUCUCUUUCUACAAAUUUGUUUGUUUGUUUAUAUAUUUUAUUUAUUUAUUAUUUUAUUUAUUUGAUUUCUAUACCGCCCUUCUCCCGAAGGACUCAGGGCGGUGUACAGGCAAGAAUAAAACAGACGGUACAAUAUACAAAUUUAAAAUGCAGUUAAAAAACUUAUUUUAAAAUUGGCCUGAGAAGUAAAAUAUAUAAUAAGCUAAAAAACCCCAUUUAAAAUUAAUUUCUAAGAAUUUAAAAAUUUGUCAAAAUCAAUUUAAGCCAGCCCCGCGCGAAUAAAAAGAUGUGUCUUCAGUUCGCGACGGAAUGUCCGAAGGUCAGGUAUUUGGCGUAAAUAGUAUAUAGCUGCCCAUCUCACAGAAAACUUUGUAGUAAUGUAAAGUAACUAGGAAUUAUUGCUUAUUUUUGAUACAAUUGAUUCUGCAAAUAUUUGGAAGUAAAUUCAUUAGUUUCAGUAAAAUACCAUCCCCAGUAAAGGACAUGGAAUCUUAUCUUGCUGAGGCAUAGGGCAUAAGAACUAUAAAUAAAUAUAUCUUAGUAAUAAAUUACCAUUGCAUAUUUUGAAAGAAGAUAAAUAGAAUAUCAUUUUUCUUCUCAAAUUAAUUGAUUUUGUUUUUGUGCUCCAAAAGAAAUGUAUGCUUGGUUUUCAAACUGAUUUAGUUCUCCUCCCAAUCAUAAACAGAGUUUACCCCAUCUUCUACUCCACCCUCCCCUUGUUAAGUGAAACUCACCUUAAUGUGAAUGUUUUGGCCAUAAUAAAUGGCUAAAGUUGCCACAGUACUUUCAUUGUGCUGCAAGAUUAUCUUUGUUAAUGCCCUGAAAAAUGCUAAAUAUUUCAAUCCUAAUUAGAUUUACUUUGAUUUAGAAAUUACAUAGCACUUAUUAUAGCCAAGCAAAUUGGCAUCAUCAACUUAAGUAGCCACUGAACCAAACAAAUUUAAGGAUUCCUAUAUAAGCUAUCUAUCUUAAUGUUAACAUCUAUUUCAUUAAUGUCAAUAAAGCAAAAUAGAGUUGUCUUACAGUAGAAUGAAGCAAAACAGUUGAACACAUGCUGGAUAUGUUAAAUGUGGCAAUAUACCGUAAUUGAUAAUAGAUAUAAAGAAGUUGAUUCUAUAACAACCUUGCUUGACAUUUCAAUUGGUGAUGUGCAAGGGAACAUCUUAUUUGCAUACUGAAAUUCUUGUAAACAUUUUGACAAGAAUUAAAGGGUAUAUUCUACAAUUGUGCCUCCUAAUUUUAUCCACAGCUUGCUUCCAUCAUUAAACCAAGAGAUGUGCUAAAAUAGCAGUGUCAAUACAGAUUUAACUUUUGCUAUAACAUAUUUGUUAAUCCCAAAUAUUAACAAUAGUCAAAUGCUGAAAAAUAGUUGUAAACUAUUCCUUCCUUCCUCCCUCCCUCCCUCCCUCCCUCCUUUUUCCCAACAACUCUAGGAAUAGAAUAAAAAAUAAACAAAGAUUUAAAAAAAUUAAUAACUAUAACUAUUCUAUAACUCUCUGGCAUUCAUUUUCAAAAUACUGUCGUUUUUAACUCUGCAUCCAUUUGGCCAAUAAGUGAAGUCACAGUAUAUUUCUCCUUGUCUGUGCAGCUUCAAUAGAAUUAGCUGCUGCAUGGAAGAUUUUUUGUCUUUUUCCCAGAAGGGGAAACUGGUAGAGAAUAUCAAACGUUGCUGUUUGAUCACAUCAAAAGCUCUAUAUAAUCCAGCAUCCUCUUUCCUACAUUGACUGGCAGGUGAUAGUCCUGUUGCUGCUGAUUGUCACCAGCUUUAUAGCCUACAUGUCUCAAAAUGGUAGAAGUCAUGUAUACUAUAAAAUACAUGGAAGUGUUGAUUUCAUGCAUGAUUUUAUCUGCAUUAUUCUUUUUCUUCUUUUCUCUUAUAUCCGUAGCUACAAAAGAAUUCAAUGGUACAGUAUUUUUUCCUUAUCUGUUUAAUUUAAUUUUUCUCAAUAUUAAUCUUCUAAACAAUCCUAAACAAACAGUACAUGAUGACACAAAACUAUUUUUUCUUUAAAGCCAUGUAGGUGCAGAUUUGAAAAAAUAUAUAUUUUUAUGCUAUUUGGAGAACCACAAGUGGAAUAACUCAGUGACUGAAUUAAUAACUCAAUGCUGGAAAUAGUGCUUGCUGGUAUUUAAGAAAUAAUACUGUACUGGCUUAUGAGAAAUCUUCAGUGCCAAGUGAUAUGUAUAUUUUACUCUCAUUUUUAUGCCCGAACCCUGUGCCAGAUCUGCAUAAACACAAAAACACUUCCUCUUCUUCCUGUUGAUGCUGUGGUAGUGAUGUCAGUCACACUCAAGUAAAAUUUCCCUGUGACAGUUGAUUACAGAAUUGUGAUGGAAUGUAUAUUUCCUACCUCCAAUAAACAUCCUGUUGUGGAAUGUGUGUAUGUUCUGAAUAUGCAAAAACAGAACGUUAGUUCAAGGAAAGCACACUAGUAAACACAUCUGAAGCUUUGGUUUUGAUCCACAAAACAGGUCCUUAAAUCAUUGGCGGAGGAAUAAGUAAUGUUUAAAAAUUAGUAACAGAUCUUUAAAAAAAGAUUCUUUGACACAGUUUCAUAUUGCUUCCAAAAAAUUCUUCCACACGUGGAUGAAGUGAUGGUAUCUCUGUAUCAAAUAAAGGAUUUUGGUUGUUGUUUUUUAAAUACAUUUGCUGAAGAAAAAACAGAGCAUAAGGGAAACAAUACACUUGAUUAGAAAAUUGCUGUUCCAGACAAAAAAAAAAUGCAAUCACAUGACCACAAAAUGCUGCAGCCAGUCGCAAGUGUUAGCAGGUGCCAAGCACCCCAAUUGCAAUCACGUGGUAUGAGGUGGCAGUGUGACGGUUAUCAUCAGUCACUUUUUCAGAGGCCACUGUUACUUUGAAUCGUUUAUACAUCAUAAAUUGAGGACUGCCUGUAGUCCCUUUAAAAGAAAUGUAUUCCUUUCUAAUGCCUCUUUUUCUUUUAAAAGGGUUGUGCAGUGUUUCAGAUUACCAGUUCCAGACACAAAAAUCAGACUGAAUAUCCUGGCAACAGUUUGAGUCAUUUGGGUUUUUUAUUAUUAUAUUUAUGCUUUUGUGGCUGAAAAUUGAGGAUCGAAUGGAUAGGAAUUCUCUGAGAUGACGACUGUGAAAUUUCCCUGUGUUACUGAUAGCUGGAAGGAGACAAGUUUACAGGAUUCAACAAAAAUAAUAAUUGACAGCCUUGUUUGUUUUUUGCAAGAGAGGUGGGAAAACGGCAUGAUGACAUUCACAUUUUCCAUUUGUUUUAGAAUUUUAUUAUGACCAGCAGAUACAGCUUUGUUUAUUCUUGCUAUUUGAUGUAUAAGUGUACACCUGUAUGGGGCAGCUAAUCUCUUCCAAAAUGAGGUGCUUUUCACAAUGAAGGCAAUUUAGUCCAACUGCCAUUCAAAAAGGUUUGGCUGACACAAAAUAAUGUUCCAGGUUUGCUUUGUUUUUUGGAUGCCAGAAUGAGCAGAGAAGAUUGUGGAGACAUUGCUUCUGAAAGCUGCUUCCAAGGAAUGCUUCUGUUAAAGGUUAGUUGAAGCUUUGCCGUAAAAGUUUUCUAUAACGCUAAUAAAACUGACGCAAGAUGUUUGGCUUCUUAGCAACAUAAUGAUAGAAUGAGACUGGACAAAACAUUUGAGGGACAUAUAAAAAACAAAACAAUCCAAAAUAAGAAAUAAAGUCUUUUUGACCCCAGCUACUCCUGGGGAUAAAAAUAUUUCUGUUAACUCUUGGUAUCAUAAUAUACCAAUCUUUACAUUAGCUCUUAUGCAAAGCAGCAUUCAUGAAAUCCGUAUUGUAUACUAUAUUUUAAAUGAAAUAUUAUUCUUCUUGGACAAACCAUUCCAAAUUAUUUCUUUAUAAGAGCAUUAAAAAUGUUUUAGUGUAUUUAAUCAGUGCUUUUUAUUUAUUUGGACUGCAUCUAUUAUUAAAUGGACUUAUACAACAAGACUUUAACUUUCUUCAUCUCACCCUCAUAAAUUUUGCCAUGAGACAACAUAGAGCGUGAUUUGAAAUAUGGUGGCCUGCAGGAAUAAGCAUAUAUGUUUCCCCCCCUCUCUUUUUCCGUCCGUCCCCCCCCCCCCGCAUGUGUGUGUUUGUGUGCUUCUGCUUGUGAUAUCAGCUUCCAGAAAAGCAAACUUCAGGAGUCAAUUCCCUUUUCAGAAUCAAAAUGCUGCUUUAUACUUUUCUUCCAUGGAGUCAGGCAGGUAUUCUAAGCAAUUCUUUGGUUUGGUUGCUGGAAGGAUAAACAUUUGUACUUUUCCAGGAAAAGUCCUGAUAUUCAGAAGCACACCUGUGUUUAUAUAGAAAAUUUAGGCUAAUACCUCUUAACCUAAAUUAAACAAAAUUUAUUUAGGGACAAAAUCUAAAUUUAAUUUAAACUAGAGUAUACAACUAGUUUAGCAAAUGUUAUCGGAGCUGGAUGAUUGGCCUGAUAUACUAAGCUGAGUUUUGCUUUUAGUACAGAAAUUUUGGCUGAGUUCCAUAUUUCAAAAAUUACAUUUGUGAGAACUGAUGGAAGCACAAAGUAAUUGUGUUAUGAUGCAGGACUGGAAGAAAAAUGAGACUUUUUGACUGGAGCAACCUCAUUGAGUUCAGUCUUAAGGCUGAACUGUUUAACUUAAUGAAACUGUACUAUAUGUGUUUAAUUCCACAGAUAUAUUUUGCGAUUUAUCCAGAAGGAGCAUUUUACAAUCCGGAACUACCCAAAGUAAUUGCAUAUAGCCAGUCAUAUGAAAGGUAAUGAAAACUACCCAGAGCUGAUAAACUCAGUGUCUUUAACCGUUGAGCCAUCAUGCACCAUCUAAUUCAGUUUAAUGAAGGUCAAAGAGAUAACAGCUGAAGCAUGCAAAUCAAAACAGAGUCUCUGGCAGACACAUGCCUGGACAGUUUACUCUUAUUGGGAGUGCACAAAAUAGCCCAAAAUCAGUCCAAGAUUCCAAGAGCCCGUUCAGAAGAGCACAGGCAUAAUUCAUAUGAAUUGUUAUACAAGAGCCAGAGAUUAAAUAGUUGUUUCCAGUAAAAGGCUAUAACUCAAGGCUGCCUCUCAAAUCAGGCUGCAGCCAACUGUUGCUUAUCAAGACAUUUACUCAUUUGCUUGACAAGAUGCUUCACAGAAGGGCUCUGCUGUUCUUUCUUUACUCACCAGACUGCUCCAGCUGUGCAGGUGGGGCCUGUUUUCAAUUGGCCUCCUAUGAUUCAUAUGGUUUACAAAACCAGUUUCAAAUCAGAGUCUAAAAAAUCCAGAAACUUGGAUCAACUUUGAAACUUGAAUCAGUUUUUCAAGAUUGUAAAAUAAGUUUGCCUUUAAUUUUACAAAUAACUGCAAUUAAUCAUGUUAUAACUAAAGCAUUUAUAGUGUUCUUCUGGAUUUUAGACUUUCUUUGUAAGGAGUGCUCAAGAAUUCAUAUCCAUAUUGAACAAAUUGAGCUAAAAGGCAUUCGAGAAGGUGGCUUCAUGAAUGUUUUGAAGUCAAGGACAAGUAAGUGGUAAAAGGCCUGCUGCUAUAUCUAUAGUGUUUGAUUUUUUUUCUUUAUUACUUGCAUUGAGAAAUUAGUGGCUGUGAGAGUGGGAAAUAUCAUCCAAACUGCUUUUGUGAUACUUGUGGCUGUAACUGUGAAUCAAUAUGGAAUUGAAUAUCCUUUAUUCUCAGGCCAAAGUAAUUGGUCCAAUUUGAAUCAGAAUAGCCACAUCUAUGAAAUAAUAUUUUGUAAUAGUUAUGGCUGUACUAAUAGCAGUCUAGUUACCUUUGCCUGAAAAUAAAGGAUAUUCAUUCCAUAUUGAUUCACAGAGUAAGGUAACUUGAUUGAUUUUGGCUUUAAAUGUUGUGCAUAUUCACCCAGUGGGUGAAGAAACGUGGGUUUAUUACAUAAAUGUGCUGAGAAUUUAUAGCUUAGCUAAAGUUCCAAUCAUUUUCAUUUGAAUCCAUUUAGCUGCUUUAAUUAUCUAUAUUUGCUUACUUCGGGAAAAUAUAGCUAUGCAAAGCAAUCAGAAUUAGUCCUUCACAAACACAUCAAUAUGAACAAAGCUGAAGUUUGAAGCAGCCACAUCCUUUGUGAGACUCAUGCAGCUGCUUCAAAAGACAAGAACGUUUCCAUUAGAAUUGCUAACAAAAUUGUCUGUGCCUACACAGGGGCAGCUGGCAAUAUUCCUUCCAGGGAUUGUGACUGCUUGAAUAUUUCAGACAGAGAUGCUUCAUAGGUACUAAAUUGCUUUGUAUCACACCUCUUUGAAUGCUUGGUACAGCCCUAAAAAUAAAUCUGGCCAAAUUACACACCGUAGUAAAAUUUGUGCUAUUUGCAGAUGAAGAUUAAAAAAUCCAAUCCCUGAUGUAUGAAAGAAAGAAUUUCAGGCCAAACGUUAUGAUUCUUAGAGGAAAGUAUUUGUGAUAAAUUAUAAGAAAUAACCAGAGAAUUGUAUAAAAGCUCCUAACCAAAAGUUUGUGAUAAAUAAAUCUCGUUUUCCUUGCUCUUAGAUUGCUUAAUAGAAUUUUAUGAUGCAAAAGAUUCUAAAAGAAGAAAUAGGUUCCCUGGGAAAAGUGUUCACUCCAAACUAAGUCUCCAAAAAACAUUGCCAUCCUUAUUAUUUUAAGCGGCUUGACUGCCAGCAUGCUACUGACAGAGUCUGGAAGGAAACUUUACCUAAAAACAUGGCUAUAUAGGAGUUUAUUAGGCUGUUUCUGGGUCAGUAUUAAAGCAGAAAAACUGCACUUUCAUUCAGUGGCUUUUCCCUCUUGCUGUAUACAUCACAUCAAUUUUUUUCCUAAAUUGUAUAUUAACAUUUUAAAUAAAGUCUUAUCAAUUGAAUAAGCCAAAUUUCAAGUCCAUCCUUCCUGAUUAUAAAAGCUUCAGGAGUCAGUUCACUAAAGCCUCUUGCUUUCAUCCUCUCUGAAUUCUUUCAGUAACCUUUGAAUGAAACGAAGUGGUGUACUCUACGACAGGGAUCACCAACCUUUUGGACCUCAGGGACCACUAAAUUCAAAAUUUUAUAUCUCGCAAACUACUAAUAUGAUCUGCCUAAUGACUGGCUGGGUGGGCAUGGUUAGGUGGUCAUGUGACUGGAUGGGCAUAGUCAACUCAAUGUCACUCACAUCGCUGUCCUCUACUCACCCCUCCUCUUUCAGCCCCUCCUCACCUGCCCACCGAGGCUCCUUAGGGCCCCAACAGGAAGAAGUUGCUAGAGCUAAGGAGCUACCACAAGAAAGAGUUGGCAAAACAGCUCAGUUCAAAUUGGAACUGACUGAGAAGGAGGCUCAGCAGAAGCACCUCACUGAGGACUACGAGCAUAGGCUUUCCAAGCAGAGGGAAGACCUGCAGGAGUGCAAGGCCAGGUACUGGCGCCUGGAGGCUUAGUGGGCUGAGAUGGUCAGCCAGUUCCAGGCCAUGAUGCAGUCCCACUGGAACAAGGCCCUCCGGCUCCUUGCCACCAGUGGCACUUCCCUCCAGCAUUUGCCCAAAGCCCCACACCAGGAGGCUGAAGCAGACUUCAAGUCAGAAUUUCUGCCCCCCUCUGACCCGCACAAAAAGACUCCGAAGGGUGAGACUCUGCAGCAACACAAAUAUUCACUGCACAUAACCAGCCCAAGGGCCGUUGUUUGAGGACCCCUGAUUUAGUGCAAUAUAAAAAAUGCAAAUAAUUUUUAUGCAAACCACCAAAAUUUUCUCAUGGAUCACCAGUUGGUGACCGCUGCUCUACAAGGUAACUCUCAAGUAGUUUUAAAACUAUUUCGCACAAAGUCACCCAAGCACACCAUGAACUUCUGCAACUUCCUGCAUAGUCAUGUGAGGCUGCAAGAGAAUUAGAAAUAAAGGAUUACAUUUCUGACAGAUUACUUGGCCAGGAUACAGUUUGAUAUGAUUAGCUCUAGGUAGGUAUAUACUACAGGCCACCCAAUCAAGCACAGGUAAUACAUGUAGUCCUUGGCUUACGAUCACAAUUGAGCCCAAAAUUUAUGUUGCUAAGUGAAAAAUUUGUUAAAUGGGUUUUGCCCCAUUUUACAACUUUAUUUGCCACAUUUAUUAAGUGAUUCACUGCUCUUGUUAAGUUAGUAACACAGUUGUAAGUGAAUCUGGUUUCCCCAUUGCCUUUGCUCAUCAGAAGGUCGCAGAAGCUGAUCACAUGACCCCAGGACACUGCAACCAUCAUAAAUAUGAACCAGUUGACAAGCAUCCAAAUGUAAAUCACAUGGGGAUGCUGCAGUGGUCAUAAGUGUGAAAAAUGGUCUUAAGUCACUUUUUUCAGUGCCGUUGUAACUUUGAACAGUCACUAAAUGAACUGUUGUAAGUCAAACUCUGCUAAUCAGCUAAGGUGUCAGGAAAAACACUCCCACUUGCUGCAGAGUUUCCAGGAUCGUUAAAGUUCCCCGUUACUUCUGUGGUGUGUUUCCUGCACACCUUAGCUAACCAACUAUUAAAAAAUUCAUCUAUUUCUUCUGAUUUGUUGGGUGACCUAUAGUAUGGCAACAUCGUUCUUUUUUUUCCCUUUUACUCAUAUGCAUUCAAGGAGGCUUUCAUCCUUUGUUUUAUGCAUUUCUGUAGAGGUGUAGUGAUUUCUUACAUAUAAUGCAAUGCCACUUCCUCUUUUUUUAGAUCUGUUUUUUUUGAAUAGUUUAUAUCUUCCCAACAGUACAUUUCAGUCAUGAGUUUAAUCCCACCAAGUUUAGGCAACUAUAUUAUACAUGCCCUCAUGUACUAGACCUAAUUCUCCCUGUUUUUCCUCAUACUUUGAGCAUCAGUGUACAGACAUUUUAAUCCUUUACAGCUGACCCUGUAUUUGUUUCCUAUAUCUCCUGUUUUGAGUUCCUUUUCCUUCCCACCACUCCCUACCUGAUCAUUUGAUUGGUUGUCUUGGGGUUUAUGCUUGGGAUUAAGUCCUAAAAAUUGGUCACCCUUCCCUUCCAGUUUUAGUUUAAAGCAUAAGCAAAUACGGACACAUUCUUCCUGGUUCUUCCCAAUACUUUUUACAGAUAUACUGUAGUUCUUUCAGUAUAAAGUUUGUUGGGUGCAGUCCACAUCAUGGAUGGUUAUCCCAGGGAAGGAAUGUUACAUAUAAUCCAUGGUGCAGAAUAAUCAUAAAAGGAGAUGAGAAAGAACGAAUUGUAGUACGUCAAAGUACUUUUCAAGCAGGAGACAGAUGCCAUUCCAGACAAAUGGUUGUCCAAUCCCUUCUUUAAAAACUCCAGUGUUGGAGCACCCGUAACUUCUGGAGGCAAGUCAAAUAUUUGGUCAGGUACCUGAGGAACAGGGACUUCAGCCGUUCAAUAUGUCUUGCAUUCUUUUUCAACCACAGUUGAAAAGAUUUGCAAAAGAGCACUUAGUUGAGCGGAAAUAAAUCUCAUGGUUCAGUUGUCUCCCAGCAACUAAAACGUUCCUCUAAGGAAGGGGUGUCAAACUGGCAGCCUGUUAGCCAGAUGCGUCACGCGCAAACUACACCCACACCAGCUCCGCGAAGGGGAAAAACAUUGUGAAAUGUCACAUGACAGCAACGUGAUGCCAUGAGUUUGACAUCCAUGUUCUAAGGCAUUUGGAGCACUCCAAUUUUUAAAGUUAGUUAGAUUGUUGUUAAUUAUCUGGUAUUAUCUGACCAUGCUGGAAAUAUCAGUGAGAAAUAGUUGAAGAACAUAGCAACAUGUUCUUCUAAGCCAGGCAUUUUCUUCAGAUGAACUGCAUGAAUGAGGGAAAAUGCAAAAACUUCAACUUUUUUCUUAUUUUGCUUGUCAGCCCCUUUCCUCUUUUUACUAAGGUAUUUAGGUGUUCAUAAAACACAAAAAGAUACAGAAGCAAUUGUUAAUUGCUAUAAUUUUAGGUUGACUUAGAAAAGAAUCUGAAAAGGAAUAAGAAUAGCAAUUACAUGUAAUGACUCUCGUGCGCAAAUGCUCAUACGUAGUCUACUUUCUGUGGAAAGUUCCCAGAUUGGAUAAAAUAAAGUAAGAUGAUAAAAUCCAAAAUUAUAAACAUUGAAAUCAUAAACAAUUCUGAAACCAUAGAAGAAGACCAUGACAGGGCUGGAAGCAGAAGCUGGACUACAUCUGGAAAGCAUUGUGCAGAGGAAGACUGGGUUAUGUUGCACUAAAGUUGAUGGCAAAUAGUCCAUAGAUAUUUUUUUAAAAAAAAAAUCCUGGCACUCCACUGGAUUGAACAUUUUAGGAGCCAAUUUUAUGACAUGGGUUGAAUUGCAGUGUAAUCAAGUAAUCAGUUUAAUUUUCCCACUCCAUGCAGAUAUCAAUUUAAGCACCUUUGGGAACUCUCGUUUUAUGACCUGCAAAUGUGCAAUUCUAAGUAAAAGCCAAAAAAUCCUUGUUAACAAGAUAUAAAUGAACUUUCUGGUACGGAUAGUCCUCGACUUACAACAGUUCAUUUAGUGACUGUUCGAAGUCAGCACUGAAAUGGCACUGAAAAAUGUGGGUUAUGACCAUUUUUCACACUUAGGACCAUUGUAAUAUCCCAAUUAUCACUUGAUCAAAAUUCAGAUGCUUGGCAACUGACUCAUAUUUAUGACAGUUGAAGUAUCCCGAGGUCAUGUGAUUUCUUUUGCAGCCUUCUGACAAGUAAAGUCAAUGAGGAAGUGAGAUUCACUUAACAACUGCAGUGAUUCACUUAACAACAGUGACAAGAAAUGUUGUAAAAUUGGAUAAAAAUCACUGAACAAAUAUCUCACUUAGCAACAGAAAUCUGUGGCUCAAUUGUGAUCAUAAGUUGAGGAAUACCCAUAGUCUAUGAAGCCUUAGUUCUAAUAUUUUCUAUGAAUGUUGUGGUGUACUGUAUGUAAUAAAAUCUGCAUUUGUUUACAUUUCAAAUAUUUACAAACAUUUUUGUUUCAGUGCCAAAACACCCCCCCCUUUUUUUUAAGCUAUCAGUUAUAACUAACAUCAACACAUUGUGGUAUAUUUGAUGAUUUAUUACAGCAUUCUUAAACUAAAUUUCUUUGGAUACUACUCUAAAAAAAGGUUGUUGUUUUUCCCCCUUUGAUAGCAAAAUAUGUGCUCUGAAUUGUUCCAAAAAACAUAAGGCAAUAUAAAGUUUCUCUGAGGAUGACCUCAAAAUCUCCUAGCAAGUUUUAUGCAGAUAGUCAAAUAUCCAGGUUACAGAGGUUGCAGGUGGGGUGUUAAACUGGUGGCCGGCAGGCAUCACGUGCAAGCCACAUCCACCCCAGCUCCGCGAAGGGGAAAACCAUCACAAAACAUCACGUGAUGGCAAUGUGACGCCACACGCUUGACAGCCAUGGUUUAGGGUUUGCCUUAUAUUUUCUUUGCCGUUGCAAGCCACCUUGUUUGUCAAGGGGAUAAAAAGAUGAGGGUACAAAUGAAAUAAUUAAUAAUCAAAUACAAAUAAGAGGGAUUCAACUCUUGGGCUAACAUACAAUUUUAUUAAUGAGCCAGUGUUAUAAUGCUGGAUUUAUGGAACCAUUUGCUACUCUGUUUCCCCGAAAAUAAGACUCAACUGGAAAAUAGGCCCUAGCAUGAUUUUUCAGGAUGCUUGUAAUAUAAACCCGACCCUCAAAAUAAGCCCCAGUUAAGAUUGUCAGCCAAAUGGGUGUAUUUAAUACUGCAUUUCCCCAAAAAUGAGACCUAAUCAGAAAAUAAGUCCUAAUGUGUCUUUUGGAGCAAAAAUUAAUAUAAGACCUGGUCUUAUUUUCAGGGAAACACAGUAUUUUCUGAAUGUUAUAGGAACUGCUAUGACUACUAGUAACAUAUUGCAAAUAUUUCCAAUAAUAUUAAUUUUCCAUAUAUAAUAGUAACUCAAAGACCAUUGUCAAAUAUGAGAAUUAUUAUGGUCAUGGAUAUCUAAAGGCAUUUUUUAAAAACACAAGAAGAGAAACUAUAGCAUACAUAUUAGGUGUUCUCUACACAAAAGGCAAAUGAAAUAUAUGCACAAAUACAUCUCAUAAAUUUACUUUUAUUAUUUGUAUUGAUAUAACUUAACUAAAGCUUACACUCUCAAAAUUACAGAAAUAGUUGGACAGCAUUAAAAAAGUUACCUUUUUAUCCACCAAUGCAAAUACUAGAGCUUUUAAGUUUUUCAAGUUCUAAAUGCAAACUGAAUCUGGUACUGUAAAAGUGCUCCUGAGAAAGAAGUCAAAGAUGAUGAUGAUGAUGAUGGAGAAGAAGAAGAAGAAGAAAAUUUAUUUGCCUAUCUCACUGUGGGGUUAGGCAAGAGAACAGCAAGUUCAUUUCCAAACUGUACAUCUGGUGCUUCAAGGGGAAGUGUCAACUAACUCUCCUUAUCCAACUCCACUGUUCCUCGACUUAUGACCACAAUUCAGCCCAAAAUCUCUGUUGCUAAGUGAGACAUUUGUUAAAUGAAUUUUGUCCCAUUUUACAACCUUUUUUGCCACCGUUGUUAAGUGAUUCACUGCAAUUGUUAAGUUAGUCACAUGAGUCUGGCUUCUCCAAUGAUUUUACCUGCUAGAAGGUUGGAAAAAGUGAUUUCAUGACCCCGGGACACUGCAAUCAUCAUAAAUGUGAAUCGGUUGCCAAGCAUCUGAAUUUUGAUCACUUGACCAUGAGGAUGCUGCAACGAUCGUAAAUGGGAAAAAUGGUCAUAAGUCACUUUUUCAGUGCUGCUGCAACUUUGAACAAUCACUAAACGAACUGUUGUAAAUCUAUGACUACCUGUACUUCAAUCUUUCUUUUUUAGAUCAAGUUUCAGUUUGUUUGCUCUCAUCCAUAGCUUAUUUAGACCUUCUUCAAAUUCCAGAGGAUUCCCAUAGUUUUCCAGUACUUUUUAUUUCCCUUUGUAUUUUAUGUUUUGAUAAACUAAUAAAAAAGUUGUAAAGGUAUUUUUUUUCUCCUUCAUCCAUUCCUAAUUCUAAACUGGUUUGCUAACAAGCACUUGCAGGUUGCAGAAAAAUAUGGCCAUAUAGACCCAGAAGGCAUAGUAGAUAUCUCUGAUAAAAAAUGGUUUGUAUCAGCAAACCAUUAGCAGAAGCUAAAUUAUCUAGUUUAAAAUGUGUUUUGUAGAUAUCCUGUCACUGAGAUACAGAUUAUGUUUUAUGAGAGUCUCCAGGGACAGACGUGCAAAUGGAAAUCUUGAAUUAUCAUCC
This is an RNA transcript of Ahaetulla prasina, 13622 nucleotides long. It is a transcript of the gene named 1-acyl-sn-glycerol-3-phosphate acyltransferase epsilon-like, with no coding region annotated. Lineage: Eukaryota; Metazoa; Chordata; Lepidosauria; Squamata; Colubridae. The transcript is spliced from 4 exons. The record is from RefSeq and is a predicted model, not a curated record.